UACGUAGGGUGCGAGCGUUGUCCGGAAUUAUUGGGCGUAAAGAGCUCGUAGGCGGUCUGUCGCGUCGGUCGUGAAAACCUGCAGCUUAACUGUGGGCGUGCGGUCGAUACGGGCAUGACUGGAGUUCGGCAGGGGAGACUGGAAUUCCUGGUGUAGCGGUGAAAUGCGCAGAUAUCAGGAGGAACACCGGUGGCGAAGGCGUGUCUCUGGGCCGAUACUGACGCUGAGGAGCGAAAGCGUGGGGAGCGAACAGG
This 254-nucleotide ribosomal RNA is filed under the name uncultured bacterium. RNAcentral describes it as "partial 16S ribosomal RNA". It matches the Rfam family "Bacterial small subunit ribosomal RNA", at positions 524 to 776 of the family's 1533-position model. The record is from RNAcentral.